RNAcentral lists this ribosomal RNA (497 nucleotides) under uncultured bacterium. Its description in RNAcentral is "partial 16S ribosomal RNA". It matches the Rfam family "Bacterial small subunit ribosomal RNA", at positions 28 to 507 of the family's 1533-position model. The record is from RNAcentral.
GAUGAACGCUGGCGGCGUGCCUAAUACAUGCAAGUCGAGCGAACAGACGAGGAGCUUGCUCCUCUGACGUUAGCGGCGGACGGGUGGGUAACACGUGGAUAACCUACCUAUAAGACUGGGAUAACUUCGGGAAACUGGAGCUAAUACCGGAUAAUAUAUUGAACCGCAUGGUUCAAUAGUGAAAGACGGUUUUGCUGUCACUUAUAGAUGGAUCCGCGCCGCAUUAGCUAGUUGGUAAGGUAACGGCUUACCAAGGCGACGAUGCGUAGCCGACCUGAGAGGGUGAUCGGCCACACUGGAACUGAGACACGGUCCAGACUCCUACGGGAGGCAGCAGUAGGGAAUCUUCCGCAAUGGGCGAAAGCCUGACGGAGCAACGCCGCGUGAGUGAUGAAGGUCUUCGGAUCGUAAAACUCUGUUAUUAGGGAAGAACAAAUGUGUAAGUAACUAUGCACGUCUUGACGGUACCUAAUCAGAAAGCCACGGCUAACUACGUG